Non-coding RNA from Pelobates cultripes (western spadefoot toad), 218 nucleotides. Lineage: Eukaryota; Metazoa; Chordata; Amphibia; Anura; Pelobatidae. The record is from the annotation of a GenBank genome assembly.
AGUUUGUGGGGGGUCCCCCGUUCGUACCAUGAAUGGAGCCUUCAUAAGGGCUCGCAUAAUCCAUUCGUGUGGUUUUCUGCUUAACUUAUGCAGUGGCAAACAGUAUCAAUCGGUGAGUUAAAACAGCAACAUAGUGAUUUCCAGUCUUUUGUAACACUCUUCUUCACUGGAUCCACAAAAGUAUACUCUGGAACAAGUAAAACACCAGAGUACUAUCC